UUUCGCAAUGCCCGAAAGGGUGACGAAGCGACGUCGCGUGGGUGAUGAAGGCCCUUGGGUCGUAAAGCCCUGUCAAGAGUUAUGAAAGCAGCUUGCUGCUUGACAAAGGCUCUAAAGGAAGUCACGGCUAACUCUGUGCCAGCAGCCGCGGUAAUACAGAGGUGGCAAGCGUUGUUCGGAAUUAUUGGGCGUAAAGAGCACGUAGGUGGUCAGAUAAGUCAGAUGUAAAAUACCUUUGCUUAACAAAGGACCUGCAUUUGAAACUGUCCGACUAGAGUACAGAAGGGGAGAAUGGAAUUUCUGAUGGAGCGGUGAAGUGUGUAGAUAUCAGAAGGAACGCCGGCGGCGAAAGCGAUUCUCUGGCCUAUUACUGACACUCAGUGUGCGAAAGCUAGGGGAGCAAACGGGAUUAGAUACCCCGGUAGUCCUAGCCGUAAACGAUGGGCACUAAGUAGAGGGGUUUU
RNAcentral lists this ribosomal RNA (464 nucleotides) under uncultured anaerobic ammonium-oxidizing bacterium. RNAcentral's name for it is "bacterial SSU rRNA". It matches the Rfam family "Bacterial small subunit ribosomal RNA", at positions 364 to 832 of the family's 1533-position model. The record is from RNAcentral.